Molecule: long non-coding RNA, 583 nt
Filed under: Mus pahari (shrew mouse)
Lineage: Eukaryota; Metazoa; Chordata; Mammalia; Rodentia; Muridae
Description: lncRNA (MGP_PahariEiJ_G0002266.1)
Source: RNAcentral
AGGAAGGAGCGGCGAUAGGAAGGCGUGGACACUGUACCCCGGUCACAUGAGCAGAAGCGGAAAUACGUAGAGAAAGCUGCAGUCAUACCACGUCCGGAAAAGUUGGGCUGCAGAUCCGUUUGUUUUUUUAAGGACCAUGUAAAAGUUCCUCUAACAGACAUCUGGAGAAAAAUUGAAAUGAUUGUACUACAGACUGGAGAUAUUUACCAGGUUGUUGCCCUGUUUGAGUUCCUGUCCUUACUUCCUUCACUGAUGAACAAUGAUAUGAGUCUUUGCUUCAUUGGCGCUGAUGAUGAAUAAAGGAAACAGGAUGGAAAAGAGGCAGCCACUGUUUAAAAAAUAAAAAUUUUUUAAAAAAAGUCAACUUUUCAAGGCAUGACUUUAUUAUAAGCCUCACAUCUCUUCACUUCUGAAUUUCUAAGUAUUUUCCUCCAGGAGGCAGCAUAGAGAUUUUUUUAUAUUUACAUCUUAAUAAUCACAAGUGUCACUUACUAUUAACAACAACAACAAGUCUUCCUGAUGGUCAAAUGGUGUAACAUGCUGGUACAGAUGUAGAACAAUAAAAGACACUUACUUAAAACAU